RNAcentral lists this long non-coding RNA (1390 nucleotides) under Salmo salar (Atlantic salmon). RNAcentral describes it as "lncRNA (ENSSSAG00000104774.1)". Lineage: Eukaryota; Metazoa; Chordata; Actinopteri; Salmoniformes; Salmonidae. The record is from RNAcentral.
CCACAUUGAUUCAAAGUCCUCACGUUUCUAUUUUGGGGGUUGAAAUGACGUGGAAACAACGCUGAUUCAACCAGUUUUUGCACAGUGGAUGGUAAUUCCAGAAUGUUGCUGGAUAUUACAGGCUAAACCUCCCACAUGUCAAACCUACAACACACACAUAUGGAGUGGGUGUUAGUAGGCUAGCCUAGAGACAGCGACGAUGAUACUGAGACAUUUAAGGACAAAGACAUCCUUCUAUAAACAAUAUAACAUGUGGGCUGUUUCUAUGGUGGCCAUGUGCCUGAAAAGACGAAAGGACGGUGCGGCGCCGGUCCUAUAUUGUGAUCCAAUGCUCGUCUCGUUUCCCGUCGCAUCUACCCGUCCCGUCGCCGAAAUUCUAACUACAUUACAUUUCCGCCCACAAGCCAAACUGACCCUUUGAAAUACGGGCUCACCCAGUACACCGGAGGACGUUUGCUGCGAGGAGGCAGCACUUGGAUCUGUCUUUUCUCCCUCGCGUUGCGAUCGGUGUCUGUGCCAAAAGCCCUCGGUGCCGUCUCUGCUGUUGGAUGAGCUGAUACUGGCAGCUGCAGCUGCUGCUCCCGUCGCCCCGGUCUCAGGCAUGCUCUUUCAGUGGGGCGUAACGGACGAUAGUCUCCGGGAAAAGGGAGAACGAAAUCGCAUCUCAGGCAGGCAAAGCAUGGACCGCGACCGACCGGUGGGUCAGAGAGACAGAGGUUAAAUUAACGUGAAGUGAUGGUUGUUGUGCUGGUGGCUCAUCCUGGUUUGCAGCAGAAUGCUAGCAGAUGGAUAGCGCUCGGUUGAUUCUUAAGUAUCGAGGAGGGACAAAGAGAAAAGGAGAGACGACACGUGAUCCUGCUUGUGCUUCAAGGGAUAUUAUCCAGCAAGCGGGGACCUGUACCACCAGUGACAAAGAGGAAAAGGAAGGCACCUGACUCACACAGCACCAUGGCAACAAUUGCGGACACAGAAUAAACAAUUUGAGGAUUGUGUGAAGUUGGAGACUGAUCGCCUCUUGAGAGAGAAUGAGCAGCUGUUGUAAAGGACGUCACGCUGCUUGCUUACCGAGUGCCACUUCCUCUGCCUUGCUAGCACACUUGACUGCUCUCCGGAAGCUUCUUACCAGUCAGCGCCACGCAAAAGCUAGCUGUUCGUUGGUGCAAGUGGAGACACUUCAGGCUGAGGAGUGGUGAAUCGCAUCUCUGCAUGUCUGGCAGACAUAUCAGUGUGGAUGACGGAUCACCACCUCAAGCUGAACCUCGGCAAGACGGAGCUGCUCUUCCUCCCGGGGAAGGACUGCCCGUUCCACGAUCUCGCCAUCACGGUUGACAACUCCAUUGUGUCCUCCUCGCAGAGUGCUAAGAGCCUUGGCGUGACCCUGGACAACACC